This 408-nucleotide ribosomal RNA is filed under the name uncultured bacterium. RNAcentral describes it as "partial 16S ribosomal RNA". It matches the Rfam family "Bacterial small subunit ribosomal RNA", at positions 28 to 526 of the family's 1533-position model. The record is from RNAcentral.
GACGAACGCUGGCGGCGUGCCUAACACAUGCAAGUCGAACGGAGUGGCGAACGGGUGAGUAACACGUGGGUGAGCUGCCUUGCACUUCGGGAUAAGCUUGGGAAACUGGGUCUAAUACCGGAUAGUGCAAGAUGAGCUCGCGGCCUAUCAGCUUGUUGGUGGGGUAAUGGCCCACCAAGGCGUCGAAGGGUGGCCGGCCUGAGAGGGUGUACGGCCACAUUGGGACUGAGAUACGGCCCAGACUCCUACGGGGGACAGCAGUGAGGAAUAUUGCACGAUAGGCGGAAGGCUGAUGCAGCGACGCCGCGUGGGGGAUGAAGGCCUUCGGGUUGUAACCUCCUUUCGACAGGGACGCGGUACCUGUAUGAGAAGCACCGGCUAACUGCGUGCCAGCAGCCGCGGUAAUUC